Molecule: ribosomal RNA, 255 nt
Filed under: uncultured bacterium
Lineage: Bacteria
Description: partial 16S ribosomal RNA
Rfam family: Bacterial small subunit ribosomal RNA
Source: RNAcentral
UACGUAGGGUGCGAGCGUUGUCCGGAAUUAUUGGGCGUAAAGAGCUUGUAGGCGGUUUGUCGCGUCUGCUGUGAAAUCUCAAGGCUCAACCUUGAGCUUGCAGUGGGUACGGGCAGACUAGAGUGUGGUAGGGGGAGACUGGAAUUCCUGGUGUAGCGGUGAAAUGCGCAGAUAUCAGGAGGAACACCGAUGGCGAAGGCAGGUCUCUGGGCCACUACUGACGCUGAGGUGCGAAAGCGUGGGGGAGCAAACAGG